GACGAACCGAGCAAACGUUAUUCGGAAUCACUGGGCUUAAAGGGCGCGUAGGCGGGCAUCCAAGUCCGUGGUGAAAUCCGGCAGCUUAACUGUCGAACUGCCGCGGAUACUGGGUGUCUCGAGGGAGGUAGGGGCGCGCGGAACUAUUGGUGGAGCGGUGAAAUGCGUUGAUAUCAAUAGGAACUCCGGUGGCGAAGGCGGCGUGCUGGACCCCUUCUGACGCUGAGGCGCGAAAGCCAGGGGAGCGAACGGG
Molecule: ribosomal RNA, 253 nt
Filed under: uncultured bacterium
Lineage: Bacteria
Description: partial 16S ribosomal RNA
Rfam family: Bacterial small subunit ribosomal RNA
Source: RNAcentral